UCUCUGCUCGUAUAACGGUUAGUAUGCAACCUUGUCACGGUUGAGACCAGAGUUCGACUCUCUGGCAGAGAG
Non-coding RNA from Dioszegia hungarica, 72 nucleotides. The record is from the annotation of a RefSeq genome assembly. NCBI's taxonomy places the organism in Eukaryota, Fungi, Basidiomycota, Tremellomycetes, Tremellales, Bulleribasidiaceae.